AGCAGCCGCGGUAAUUCCAGCUCCAAUAGCGUAUAUUAAAGUUGCUGCAGUUAAAAAGCUCGUAGUUGAAUUUCGGGACUAAUAUGUCGGUCGUGCCUCGGUACGUACUGGUUUAUUGGUUUCUCCUUUCUGAAGAACCAUGAUGUCAUUUAUUUGGUGUCGUGGGGAAUCAGGACUGUUACUUUGAAAAAUUAGAGUGUUUAAAGCAGGCUCACGCUUGAAUACAUUAGCAUGGAAUAAUGAAAUAGGACGUUUGAUUCUAUUUUGUUGGUUUCUAGGAUCGACGUAAUGAUUAAUAGGGAUAGUUGGGGGCAUUAGUAUUCAAUUGUCAGAGGUGAAAUUCUUGGAUUUAUUGAAGACUAACUACUGCGAAAGCAUUUGCCAAGGAUGUUUUCAUUAAUCAAGAGCGAAAGUUAGGGGAUCGAAGACGAUCAGAUACCGUCGUAGUCUUAACCAUAAACUAUGCCGACUAGGGAUCGGAUGAU
This 485-nucleotide ribosomal RNA is filed under the name uncultured Glomus. Its description in RNAcentral is "SSU rRNA". It matches the Rfam family "Eukaryotic small subunit ribosomal RNA", at positions 569 to 1061 of the family's 1831-position model. The record is from RNAcentral. Lineage: Eukaryota; Fungi; Glomeromycota; Glomeromycetes; Glomerales; Glomeraceae.